This 412-nucleotide ribosomal RNA is filed under the name Pseudomonas aeruginosa. Its description in RNAcentral is "partial 23S ribosomal RNA". It matches the Rfam family "Bacterial large subunit ribosomal RNA", at positions 1 to 413 of the family's 2925-position model. The record is from RNAcentral. Lineage: Bacteria; Pseudomonadati; Pseudomonadota; Gammaproteobacteria; Pseudomonadales; Pseudomonadaceae.
GGUUAAGUGAAUAAGGGCGCACGGUGGAUGCCUUGGCACUAGGAGCCGAUGAAGGACGGGACUAACACCGAUAUGCUUUGGGGAGCUGUACGUAAGCUAUGAUCCAGAGAUUUCCGAAUGGGGGAACCCAGCAUCUUUAAUAGGAUGUUACGAUUGUGUGAAUACAUAGCACAUUCGAGGUAGACGCAGAGAACUGAAACAUCUAAGUACCUGCAGGAAGAGAAAGAAAAUUCGAUUCCCUGAGUAGCGGCGAGCGAAACGGGAAAAGCCCAAACCAGCAAGCUUGCUUGUUGGGGUUGUAGGACUCCAAUAUGGUAGUUCUUUCAGAUAGUCGAAUGACUUGGAAAAGUCAGUCAAAGAGGGUAAAAACCCCGUAGACGAAAUGUGGAAGACACCUAGGAGGAUCCUGAGU